UACGUAGGGGGCAAGCGUUGUCCGGAUUUAUUGGGCGUAAAGAGCGUGUAGGCGGCUUUACAGGUCCGUUGUGAAAACUCGAGGCUCAACCUCGAGACGCCGGUGGAAACCGUAAGGCUAGAGUCCGGAAGAGGAGAGUGGAAUUCCUGGUGUAGCGGUGAAAUGCGCAGAUAUCAGGAAGAACAUCCGUGGCGAAGGCGGCUCUCUGGGACGGUACUGACGCUGAGACGCGAAAGCGUGGGGAGCGAACAGG
This 253-nucleotide ribosomal RNA is filed under the name uncultured bacterium. Its description in RNAcentral is "partial 16S ribosomal RNA". It matches the Rfam family "Bacterial small subunit ribosomal RNA", at positions 524 to 776 of the family's 1533-position model. The record is from RNAcentral.